AUGUUCGACAGUGGCAUUGAAGAAGGAAAAAUCAUUGAAAGUGAGGGCAUAAAUAUGCCUAAUGACCAAACAAUAAAGUGUCACCAACCAGAGGCCUAUAAAUACCUGGACAACAUCAAGCAUGAACAUGUGAAGACUGUGGUCAGUAAAGAAUACACACAAAGGGUCAGAAAAUUUUUCAAAAGCAAGCUCAAUGGAGGCAACACCAUCAAGGCCAUAAACACCUGGGCCAUACCUGUCAUAAGAUAUACUGCUGGCAUCAUAAACUGGACACUGGUGGAACUGGACAAUUUGGACAGAAAAACAAGAAAACUCAUGACCAUUCAUCAUUCACUGCACCCUCGCAGUGAUGUUGACAGGCUAUAUCUGCCUAGAAGAUCAGGGGGCAGAGGACUCUUACCAGUAAAACAAGCAGUCAAAGAAGAAGAGCAUGCCCUGGCAGAAUAUGUAAAGCAAAGUGAAGAACCUGCUUUGAUUGAAGUCAAAAAUCAAAAACUCCUCAAAACACAGCAGACAAAGAAUCCGUACAUGAAAACUGCACUACAAACAAGAGCUGACAGCUGGCACAACAAAACAUUGCAUGGAAAGUUCCUUGACAAAAUUGAAGGAAAAGCUGAUAAGGAGAAGACCUGGCUAUGGCUCAUGAAUGGGACACUGAAGAAGGAGACAGAAAGCCUGAUCCUUGCAGCCCAGGAACAAGCCAUCAGAACAAAUGCAAUUAGGGCCAAGAUCGAAAAAUCAGCUGAUGACCCAAAAUGCAGACUGUGCAAGGAAGCUGACGAAACCAUUGAUCAUAUCCUCAGCUGCUGUAAGAAAAUCGCACAGACAGACUACAAACAGAGGCACAACUAUGUAGCCCAAAUGACUCAUUGGAACUUAUGCCUUAAAUACCACUUCCCAGCAGUAAAGAACUGGUGGGAUCACAAACCUGCAAAAGUAUUGGAGAAUGAGCACGCAGACUGUGGGACUUCCGAAUCCAGACUGACAAAGUUCUGGAACACAACACACCAGACAUCACAGUUGUGGAAAGGAAAAAGGUUUGGAUCAUUGAUGUUGCCAUCCCAGGUGAUAGUCACAUUGAGGAAAAACAACAGGAAAAACUCAGGACCUCAAGAUUGA
This 1119-nucleotide long non-coding RNA is filed under the name Anolis carolinensis (green anole). RNAcentral describes it as "lncRNA (ENSACAG00000041509.1)". Lineage: Eukaryota; Metazoa; Chordata; Lepidosauria; Squamata; Anolidae. The record is from RNAcentral.